This is a long non-coding RNA of Gekko japonicus, 399 nucleotides long. RefSeq lists it as uncharacterized. The transcript is spliced from 3 exons. NCBI's taxonomy places the organism in Eukaryota, Metazoa, Chordata, Lepidosauria, Squamata, Gekkonidae. The record is from RefSeq and is a predicted model, not a curated record.
UUCCUGAAUGGCUGGGAGGGAAUCGGUGGGGAGCUCCAAGAGGGUUGCGGAGGUUAGACCCUGAGAGCUCAUGCUCCCCCUACCCAACAACGUGCUGGUGUCUCAGAUGCCGCUGGACUCAAAUCUAGCUGGCUCCAGCAGAGAGACACCCUUGACGCCUUCUGGGGCCAUCUCCGGCUCCGUGUGGUGAAGGGAAAAGAGCCACCAUGCAGCCAGCUCAGGGUGGGGUGUCCUUUGAAGAGGUGGCCGUGUAUUUCACCCGGGGGCAGUGGAGCCUGCUGAGCCAAGCCCAGAGAGCUCUCUACAAGGAAGUCAUGCUGGAGAACUUUGGGAACGUGGCCUCUCUGGGUGAGGAUCUUUUUGUUCUUCCCUGACUUCUUAUUGCCGUGUGGAGCAAGG